GAGGAGGGUGGACGCCUUCGCCACCCUACGGCGGCUCCUGCCAUGGGACUACCCCGGGAACCUGAACAUACUGUUGUCUCCCACUCCUGAACUGGCCUUCAGACAAGCAUCCCUCUUCUUCUCCCUGGGAGACAUGAUCCCUGGUAAAAAACAACAACUAGUCAGUGCAAGCUAGGUACUAUUUCACUACUACCCUAUAUCUGGGUCAAUCAUGUCAAGGAUAGCUGGAUCUAUGUGAAUUUUCUCUCAUCUUCAGAUCACAGUGUGCGCCCAUUACUGAAGUUCCUACCCCCACCUCACAUUAAUGUAGCUGGUUCCCAGCAUGAGUCAUUGUUAAACUGCAUGGUGCAGGGUCCCCGGCUGCUGGUCAAACUGUUCCUGUUCAAGCCUGGAGUGUGGAGCCAU
Molecule: long non-coding RNA, 405 nt
Organism: Oncorhynchus tshawytscha (Chinook salmon)
Lineage: Eukaryota; Metazoa; Chordata; Actinopteri; Salmoniformes; Salmonidae
Exons: 3
Source: RefSeq, a predicted model, not a curated record